UACGUAGGGUGCAAGCGUUAAUCGGAAUUACUGGGCGUAAAGCGUGCGCAGGCGGUUGUGCAAGACCGAUGUGAAAUCCCCGGGCUUAACCUGGGAAUGGCAUUGGUGACUGCACGGCUAGAGUGUGUCAGAGGGGGGUAGAAUUCCACGUGUAGCAGUGAAAUGCGUAGAGAUGUGGAGGAAUACCGAUGGCGAAGGCAGCCCCCUGGGAUAACACUGACGCUCAUGCACGAAAGCGCGGGGAGCGAACGGG
This 253-nucleotide ribosomal RNA is filed under the name uncultured bacterium. RNAcentral describes it as "partial 16S ribosomal RNA". It matches the Rfam family "Bacterial small subunit ribosomal RNA", at positions 524 to 776 of the family's 1533-position model. The record is from RNAcentral.